Molecule: long non-coding RNA, 4640 nt
Organism: Ficedula albicollis (Collared flycatcher)
Lineage: Eukaryota; Metazoa; Chordata; Aves; Passeriformes; Muscicapidae
Source: Ensembl
CUUAAAAGACAAAUAUUUACUGCUCAGUAGAACUGUUACUUUUAACUGUGGAUGUGCUAGAGCUUUUUGUUGCUGGUUUGGAUUGUGUUCAUAUUGGACAAACAUCUAGGUAUUUGUUGUUCUUCCCAACUUUAUUUAGGCAUUUAUGAAAAAAAAAUUAUUUUUAUUAUUUUCUUUUACAUGUGUUAUUUGCUUCGAUCUUAAUAGCCUGAGAACUCUGAAAAUACAAAUCUUCAAAGCAGAUGAAAUAAAAGCUGCAGCCUUAGAGGCUUCUUUGGGACAGAGCUGUUUCCUCUAACUCACUGAAGACAUUGCUUCAGGGAGCACAAAAUAUAUUUGUUCUCCAUGGCACUUCAUUAUUUGGCUUCCUUGGAAGACCCAGUUCAGGAGCUGGUUGCUUCUGACAGCAAGAGCAGUUGCUGCAGCCCAGAUGAAGGCUCUGACUGUGGUUCUAGGAGAUGAGACACAAAUGUUAGCAUGGACAAUACUGCUGUUAUACGGAUCCAUUGGAAAGCACAUCGAGAAAUGGAAGACUUUUAUUCUUUCCUACUCAUGAGAAAGAUCUGUCAAGUCAGUGAGUGGUUUGAUUCAAUGAGAGUGAAACUAGUCCAUGGUGGAAGAUUUUUAAAAAGAGAGGUGAGUGGCUUUUUUUUUUUUUUAUUUGUCAGUGGUUACAUGGUAGAAAACGUGAAAUCCAGUAAGUGGGCUGCCCAAAAAUUAGAGCCAUCCCUCAGACAUGUGGGAAGGUGCUCUCUGUGUUAAACUAGUCAUCAUUUCCCCAUAAGAGUGUCCCAAAAAGGAGUGUAUUUGGGUCUGCUCAGGAAGAACAGAGAUGUCCUUGAUUCUGAAGUUUGGUGAAUCCUUCAUGGUAAACAGACUUGCCAAGGAUGGAACAUAAGCAUGCAAUGGCUUUCACAUUUCUGAGUGGUGGAGCUGCCCAUAGCUUUGAUGAGCCAGCUCAUUCAGGUUGUGGUGUACCAGCCAAAAGACGGGAUGCCACAGCCCUGCAUAGAGGGAAGGACAGUGAGUGGGAGUGACAGCCUGGCAAGUUCAGUUGAGAAGUGGAGUAGUAAAUGCUAGUGUAAGCCACCAAGACAAUGGAUUUUCCAUUUACAGAUUAACACUGGAAAUAUCUCAAUAGGAUGUGUUUUACUCAAACAGGAGUUGUGGGGAUUGAUGCAGAAGUAACAGUAAAAAUCUCAUAUAAGAGAUUAGACCAGAAUGUCUGAUGGCCCCUUUAGAUCUUAAUAAAAUUUUAAAUAUUAAACUGGAACCUCUUUAUGUUAGAUUUGAGUAGCACUUCUUGGUGGAAUUGUCAAUAUCUCAAGUGGCAUUGAAGUUUCCAUGGGAUUGUAAUUUUGCAUGAGCCCAUGCUACAUGCCUGAGGACACUUGGCCUUAUAAUCCUUGCUUGGGUAAAACAGACAGCCAGAGUGGACCCAAGCAGAUAAAAAAGACAAAUGUCUUGUGGACGAAAAGGAAAGGAGAUUCAGUGAAUAUUAGAAAAUAUCAGAUUGUCAUUGAAGGAUAGUAUUGUCUUUUAGCUGAGUCUUUAAAGCCCUCAUGUAAAUCCUGAUGAAGUGAGGGGCUGAGGCACUGACUUCAGUGGGAUCAUUGAAGAACAGGGUUAAGUGAUUCUUAGUGUACUGGGACAGAGAAGAAUACUGACAACAGGGUUAUCUUUUGCAUCUAGGUCUCUUUUUCAAUCCCUGAUAAAAUGUGAACCACAAAGGAAAAUACCUAGUAGGAAAUUGAAGAAAUAAAAAGAUCCAGAAUGAAAAUUUUGACUCUUGAGGCUUAGCAGAGGAAGGGGAAAACAUAUCAGCCUAAGAAGUGCACAUGGAUAUUCAUCACUAAUUAGGGAUGACAAUCACUGUGGAGCCAUAGGGUGGAAUAGGAGCAGGGUCUUUACUGAAAUUCCCCAGGCUGAAAUAAUGUCACUUCUGUCUGCAGAGAAGUUCUUGCCAAAGCUUGUUUUUUGGGUUGAUAUUUUGUUAAAACAGAACACCCAACCAGCAAUGUUGCACUAUGCUAUUUUAGUGUUCAUAGGUAGAUGUUAUACUGAUUUUUAUAAAAAUAUUUCUUUUGAUUUUUCUGUGUAGAAAAAUAAAUAAUUUCCAUUUAAGAGGUCAUGUUAAAGUGCAAAAUUAAACAUUUACCCAAGCCGAAUUUUUUUUGCCAUUUCAUAUUCUGGAAACAUGGAGUCCCUUAGGCACUUACAGUGUUUGGAAAUGACUGUGUCACAUGGGUUACCUCUGGGUUACUUCUCAGCUCAGGUUCACAGGUUGGUAUGGUCAUAAUUAUCACAAGAAUUAGCUGAAGACCGUAGCAAGACUAUUUUUAUAGCUUAUUAUCAUAUUCUAAAUACUAAAUUGUUCUGUCAAAUAGAGAGAUUUGAUAGCUGACCCACAGACAGUGCACUGACUUUGCUUACAUACUUAAGCUACUAGUAUUUCUAGGAAGAUAUGGUUUAUUAAUUCAUUAUUAUUUUAUUGAUGUUCAAUUGAUGUCUGAUUAAAUAUAAAUUAGACUCUUGGUAAUAAUAAUGUAAUAGGAUGAGGCAGGUGAGAUUCCCCCAGGAUAGUUUGUAAUGAAGCUUCAAAUUUUUAAUAAUCUUAAACUCAUAAAUAAAUUAUUACAGGUGAAACAAAUGCAAAAAUACUGAAAUAAGCCAUAAAAAUGUUAAGUGGUGGUGAGGAGACCCAUAAUCUGCUGGGAGAUCUGUGCAAGAACGUACACAUUGGUCAGAAUCAGUGCUUUCCACUCCUUCCAAACAUUUCAUAUUUAGGUGUGUAUCUACCCCUCCUAUCCCAUUAUUAUGCUGCACCAUCCUGUUGCCAGACAUUUGGCUUUGCCUGGGAGCAGUGUUAAUUUAAUACACUCAGGUGACCCCAGAGGCACUGGAAUGACACGGCAGCAGCAGUCCAGAGUGCUGCAGUGAUUCCUGCUGUUAGCAGAACUGCUGGGGACAGCAGUGCUCUUCUGGACACUUGUCUGUGAACUCUUCAGGGAAGAGUCAGGGGGAGCUGUCUCUUUGACCACACUGUCAGUGUUGAGAAGGACACAUCCUCUCACUCAGCUAUAUCUUUCAUCUUUUCCUUGGAAGACAAAUUUCCCAGGUGCUUCUCUGUUUUUCUUGAAGAGUUAGCAAGGAGUCUCUUAGACAAGAAAAGAAAGAAAGGAGAACUUACCCUUAUGUAAGGAAAGAAGGAAUUAGACAAGGAGAAGAUUCUGAUAGUGUAUUUGCUGGUUUGUUUGGGGAUUUUGGGUCCCCAGUAUUCUGCAAAGAUUUCAAGAGAUUCAAAACCCCCCAUUUCUUCAGUAAAACCAGCACCAUUAUCCCAGCCUUGAAAGACAGUGAGAUCCAAAGGCAAUACUCAGUAUCUGUGUUUUAGACUAACCCUAGUGGGAAUUUCAGAAACUCAGCACUUUGUAAAAGCUGUUGAUAAUUUGAAGAGUUAAGUCAUGCAGCAGGUUAGUAAACGUAAAGAAGUUUACUUUCUAUGAUUAAUUUUGCAGUAUUUCCAUCAGCAGAAGUAAGGGAUACACAAAAGACUGAAAAUCUGGCCCUGUGACCAUAGUCACUGGUUUAGACUUUCACUUAAAAUUAUAUUCCAAGAAUCUGAUGGUUGUUGAACAGCCAAAGGGUUGCAAACUAGAAAUUUGGCUCAAUACAAGGUACAGAAAAAGACAAGUAUGCUGCUUUUCUGAUGUGAGAGACCUUGGUUGCUAGGAGGAAAGCAUUCAAGUGUUUGCUUAUGCUUUGCUGGGGUGUUAACAGUGUGGGAUAAAUAGAUAACACCACGCCUCUUAAAUAACAUUUUCUUAAAUAGUGAAACUAUUUCCUAAUGAAGAAAUUGCAGUAAUCACAUUUCUGUAAAAAUAGGGAGUUUUGGCAUUUAUGUAAUUAAAGGGCAGUAUUUUUCCAAACACAAUUCUACUGGCAAAUACAUUUUUGCAUAUUUGUGUAAUUGGAGAUUUUGAAAUCAACUUGUUGUUGAAACACAGAAAAUUGUUGCCUCUCCACAACAGGGUAAGGAGAGAGGAGUCACGUGUGAUUUGCAGCAUCCAUAGCAAAAUUAUGUUCUUUUUGGUAGAUAUGGUUAUUCCUGUACGUCUGCCAGGAGACCCACGGGUACAGAAAGCAGAACCAGCUUGAAUCACUCUUCACUUUUUCCAUGAUGUGCCAGGCCAGCAUGGUCUGGUGGAACUGUUUGCCAGCUCCUGUCCAUGCAUUUGCUGACACUUCUCUGGGGAACCACAAUAAGCAAUUGCUUAUGUCACCAGAUGUCUGUGCCUCCUCCUCCAUGUGCCAGCACAGGCUGGGCUUGGGAGAAGGUCCUGCCCUGCUCUUGAUUUUGUUUGCACACUGCCCAGGUUUCUUGUGACUUUUUGUCAGUGUGACAAAAAGCCCUUUCCCAGGCUCUGGUUGCUGCCUUCGAUGUAGGACUGCUGUUAGACAUGAAUAAAUGCUUUGCAAGGUCCCUGCCACUUCCUCAUGCAGGAAUUAGAGAAGUCUCAAGGUUAGUUUCAUACUUGGGGCUCCUCUUUUUUUGUCAUUUUCUUGUCCUGCAAGAAAAUAAGAUACAAAUUACUUCAAGCACAGCACCUUCUACUUCAACUUUGAUGUAAAGGUCUUAU